GACGAACGCUGGCGGCGUGCUUAACACAUGCAAGUCGAACGGAAAGGCCCUGCUUUUGUGGGGUGCUCGAGUGGCGAACGGGUGAGUAACACGUGAGUAACCUGCCCUUGACUUUGGGAUAACUUCAGGAAACUGGGGCUAAUACCGGAUAGGAGCUCCUGCUGCAUGGUGGGGGUUGGAAAGUUUCGGCGGUUGGGGAUGGACUCGCGGCUUAUCAGCUUGUUGGUGGGGUAGUGGCUUACCAAGGCUUUGACGGGUAGCCGGCCUGAGAGGGUGAUCGGCCACAUUGGGACUGAGGUACGGCCCAGACUCCUACGGGAGGCAGCAGUGGGGAAUAUUGCACAAUGGGCGGAAGCCUGAUGCAGCAACGCCGCGUGCGGGAUGACGGCCGACGGGUUGUAAACCGCUUUCGCCUGUGACGAAGCGUGAGUGACGGUAAUGGGUAAAGAAGCACCGGCUAACUACGUG
This 468-nucleotide ribosomal RNA is filed under the name uncultured bacterium. Its description in RNAcentral is "partial 16S ribosomal RNA". It matches the Rfam family "Bacterial small subunit ribosomal RNA", at positions 28 to 507 of the family's 1533-position model. The record is from RNAcentral.